CUGGUGCUUCAGAUGAUGAUGAUGAUGAUGAGGCUACCGGUUCUGAUGCCGGUAGUGAGGAGGGUUCCGAGUCCUUGGAGGGCUAAGUUUUUUUUUUAUUUUAUGUUUAUUUCUAUUGUAUUUUUUUAGACUUAUUGUACUUUGAUUUGGCUUUGUACUUUUGGGGUGUUUUGUCCCCCUUGAACAAUUUUAUAUUUUGAAGUUAAUAUUAUUAUUUAUGUUUAAAUUUUGCUGUUUUAAUAAAUUUUUGGUCGGUUGAGU
This 261-nucleotide long non-coding RNA is filed under the name Lathyrus oleraceus (garden pea). RNAcentral's name for it is "Pisum sativum (pea) long non-coding RNA (PSAT_LNC040875)". Lineage: Eukaryota; Viridiplantae; Streptophyta; Magnoliopsida; Fabales; Fabaceae. The record is from RNAcentral.